Long non-coding RNA from Melanotaenia boesemani (Boeseman's rainbowfish), 148 nucleotides. RefSeq lists it as uncharacterized. The record is from RefSeq and is a predicted model, not a curated record. Lineage: Eukaryota; Metazoa; Chordata; Actinopteri; Atheriniformes; Melanotaeniidae. The transcript is spliced from 3 exons.
CAAAGAACCCGGGCCAGUCUAAUACCAGAUCAUGUUUCUCUCUCGUCCACCAGUACAUUCAGCGUUUUAAUGAGGUGUCUGGCAACAAGACAGCUGCCAUCCGAAGAAGAUCUAAAACUCCUGGGGUGAUGAUCACGCAGUAUUUAGC